RNAcentral lists this microRNA precursor (62 nucleotides) under Lepisosteus oculatus (spotted gar). RNAcentral's name for it is "Loc-Mir-27-P3_pre stem-loop". Lineage: Eukaryota; Metazoa; Chordata; Actinopteri; Semionotiformes; Lepisosteidae. The record is from RNAcentral.
AGGACUUACUCCACCUGUGAACACUGUAUGUCUUUCCCAUGUUCACAGUGGUUAAGUUCUGC